GUAACAAGGUCUCCGUAGGUGAACCUGCGGAGGGAUCAUUACACAAAUAUGAAGGCGGGCUGGAACCUCUCGGGGUUACAGCCUUGCUGAAUUAUUCACCCUUGUCUUUUGCGUACUUCUUGUUUCCUUGGUGGGUUCGCCCACCACUAGGACAAACAUAAACCUUUUGUAAUUGCAAUCAGCGUCAGUAACAAAUUAAUAAUUACAACUUUCAACAACGGAUCUCUUGGUUCUGGCAUCGAUGAAGAACGCAGCGAAAUGCGAUAAGUAGUGUGAAUUGCAGAAUUCAGUGAAUCAUCGAAUCUUUGAACGCACAUUGCGCCCUUUGGUAUUCCAAAGGGCAUGCCUGUUCGAGCGUCAUUUGUACCCUCAAGCUUUGCUUGGUGUUGGGCGUCUUGUCUCUAGCUUUGCUGGAGACUCGCCUUAAAGUAAUUGGCAGCCGGCCUACUGGUUUCGGAGCGCAGCACAAGUCGCACUCUCUAUCAGCAAAGGUCUAGCAUCCAUUAAGCCUUUUUUUCAACUUUUGACCUCGGAUCAG
RNAcentral lists this ribosomal RNA (538 nucleotides) under Alternaria tenuissima. RNAcentral describes it as "eukaryotic LSU rRNA". The stretch from base 207 to 360 matches the Rfam family "5.8S ribosomal RNA". Lineage: Eukaryota; Fungi; Ascomycota; Dothideomycetes; Pleosporales; Pleosporaceae. The record is from RNAcentral.